AUGAGGGCAGCUGAAAAGAUCAUUGGAGUCUAUUUCCCCUCUAUCACAGACGUUUACACCACACAUUGCAUUCGGAAAGCCAUCACAAUUACUAGCGACCCCACACAACCCUCAAACCAGCUCUUCACCCUCCUGCCGACCGAUAGAAGGUACAGAAGCAUUCGGACCCUCACGGUCAGAUUACAGGACACUGGUCCCACAGUGAAGCCCUCAGUGUCUCUGCUGCCGCCCUCUUCUCUGCAGAUCUCUGGAGACUCAGCCGCACUGCUCUGCCUGCUCAGCUCUUACUCUCCACAGGGGGCGCUGGUGAGCUGGACACUGGACGGCUCAGAGGUCACCGAGGGGGUUGUGACCAGCGCAGAGAGCGAGCAGGACGGCCGCUACAGCCGCAGUAGUGUCCUGACCCUCAGCAAAGCACGCUGGGAAGCGGGAGAGCAGUACGUCUGCAGAGUAACACAUGAUGGAGCUCCUCAUGAGGCCUCGUUCCACAAGAGUCGCUGUUAGUCGCUCGCAGUGCUGAUGUUUCUCCAGUGAGCGCUGCUCUCUCCUGAAGAUGAGCGUAUCUGAGUGUCCUGUGUCAGGCAGGAUUCACAUGAGUCUAGUGCUGCAGCUGUAGUCAUUUACAACUCAAUACUGAAAGAGAGCUCUAGUGUCAAAGCACUGGCUGAUCUUUCAAUCUGCUGUGUUUGCUGCAACAUUCAAUAAAGCUUCUCAACAAAC
Carassius gibelio (silver crucian carp) is the source of this 720-nucleotide non-coding RNA. The record is from the annotation of a RefSeq genome assembly. NCBI's taxonomy places the organism in Eukaryota, Metazoa, Chordata, Actinopteri, Cypriniformes, Cyprinidae.